GACCUCAGUGGCUCCAUGGUAGAGCAUCUGCUUGGUAUGCAGAAUGUUCCAAGUUCAAUCCCUGGCAUCUUCA
RNAcentral lists this transfer RNA (73 nucleotides) under Sphaerodactylus townsendi. RNAcentral describes it as "tRNA-Thr". The stretch from base 8 to 66 matches the Rfam family "tRNA", at positions 7 to 64 of the family's 71-position model. Rfam says of the family: Transfer RNA (tRNA) molecules are approximately 80 nucleotides in length. Their secondary structure includes four short double-helical elements and three loops (D, anti-codon, and T loops). The record is from RNAcentral. Lineage: Eukaryota; Metazoa; Chordata; Lepidosauria; Squamata; Sphaerodactylidae.